AUUUACGGCCAUACCACCCUGUCUGCGCCCGGUCUCGUCUGUUCUCAGAAGCUAAGCAGGGUUGGGCCUGGCUAGUACUUGAAUGGGAGACUGCCUGGGAAUACCAGGUGCUGUAAGCU
Molecule: ribosomal RNA, 119 nt
Filed under: Sinocyclocheilus grahami
Lineage: Eukaryota; Metazoa; Chordata; Actinopteri; Cypriniformes; Cyprinidae
Source: RNAcentral